CAUCGUCCUGCAAAACGAUCUACUCCAAAUUCAACCGUUGUGUGAUUGUAAUCCUGAAUCUACUCUAAACUGUUUGAUAGUUGUUCAUGGGAACGCCUAUCAGACACUAUUCGAGGUCAUAUACGUUGUUUGUUAGCGUUAGAAAUCACCUGCGUCCACACGACUCUCCAAACGAAAGCGUCAAAGUAAGCAGAUGAUAAUAGUCAGCUAAAUCAGCUAAGCUAACUACCUAGCUUGAAGCAUGCCGAAUUUUUGCGCGGCCCCUAACUGUACACGGAAGAGCACACAGUCAGAUUUGGCAUUUUUUCGGUUUCCACGGGACCCUGAGAGAUGCCGAAUCUGGGUAGAGAACUGCCGCAGAGCAGAUCUAGAGGCGAAAACAUCAGACCAGUUGAACAAGCACUACAGAUUAUGUGCCAAACACUUCGACCCAGCAAUGGUUUGCAAAACGAGCCCCUACAGGACUGUAUUGAAGGAUACAGCCAUUCCAACCGUGUUUGACCUGACAAGCCAUCUAAAAAAUCCUCAUACCAGACAUCGCAAGCGGAUUAAAGAACUUACUGAAGAAGAUUUACGGAAGAUUAAAGAAAGGCGAUUGGCAUCUUCUGUCGAACAGCUUUCCUCCAAAAAAGACGCCGCCAUUGAGGAUGGCACGAGCGCCAAUGAGGAUGAACCUCAACUGUCCAGAGAGGAGAAGGAGUUCCGCGAGUACCUGCGCUCCCUGUUCGAGGUCGUGGUCAUGUUAGGGAAACAGAGGAUCCCGUUAGUGACUGGCAAGGCGUCUGGAGCCGAACACGUGUCCAACAACUUCCAGGCCGUUCUGGAUUACCGCAUGAAUGCCGGAGACGAAGCUUUGAGGAGGCGCUUUCAGGCGACCGCCGUGAACACGGAAUACCUGUGUGCGGUCCAGCAGAGCCAGCUGUUGGACGUCUGUGAGAACACCGUGAGAGAGGAGAUGCUGAUGGAGGUGAGGGAGAGUCGCUUCUUCUCCCUCGUGACCGGAGACCUGGUCGAAUUUGCCGACGAGAAACACCUGCCUCUGUUCCUACGCUUUGUGAAUCAGCACAACGUCCUCCGGGAGGAGUUUUUGGACUUCAUGUCGUUUGGCGGCGACGAGGCCGCGCUGGUGGAGCGGCUGGAGGCCCACCUGACUGACCGCUGGGGGCUCAGCAUGGAGGACUGCCGUGGCCAGGCCCACAAGGCCACCGGGACCUCCACCACCAAGAUGAAAGCUGUGGCGGUGUUACUGAUGGAGAAGUAUCCCCUGGCGCUGCAUCUGCCUUGCUCUCAUACGGCGCUGAACCUCCACCUGGCCAACAACCUUCCUUUUCCCAAUGUCCAGGUCGUCAUGGAGACCUUGCGAAGGAUCGGCGCUUUCUUCACGACCCCGUCUACUCGGGACGAGCUCGAGAGAGCCAUCGCCGCUCACUACCAGAAGAACGAAGAGAAAGGAGCCGCGGUGAAAGAAGCCUCCGGCCCGGGAUGGACCGAGCGGCACAACGCGUUCGACGCGCUGCUGGACACGUUGCCGCCGCUGCUGCUGUGCAUGGACCGCAUUCGGGACGCCGGCGACGGCAGGUUUGCCGACGCCGUCGGAGCGCACGCGCUCGCCGAGACCCUGUCCGACUUUGAGACCGUCGUCACCGUCGUCGUCCUAAAGAACGUCCUCACCUUCACCCGAGCCUUCGGCAGGAAUCUCCAAGGGGAAACGCUCGACGUGUUUUUCGCCGCCAACAGUCUAACCGCCGUCCUGCAUUCGCUAAACGAGGUCAACGACAACAUCGACGUCUACCACGAGUUCUGGUACGAGGAGGCCGUGAGCGUGGCCAGCGUGAUGGGGGUGCCCGCGACGGUACCGAGGCUGUUCCUCCGGAAACAGCGUGCAGCCGACGUGGGCGAAAUCCAAGCCGAGGCGUACUUUAAGGAGUACGUGACGGUGCCCGUCAUCCACGGCGUCAUGCAGGAGGUGGAGGACAUGUUCUCCGAGACCAACCUCAAAGCCCUUAAGUGCCUGUCGCUGGUCCCGGCCGUCAUGGGCCAAAUGAAGUUCAACACCACCGAGGAGAACUACGCCGAAGUCUACCGCGACGACCUGCCCAACCCGGACACGCUGCCCGCCGAGCUCCACUGCUGGCGAAUCAAGUGGAAGCACCGGGGCAAAGAGGUGCGCCUGCCCGCCACCAUCCACGAAACCCUUCAGCUGCCAGACGUCAAGUUCUUUCCCAACGUGAACUCCUUCCUCAAGGUGCUCUCGGCCCUGCCAGUUCUGAAGCUGGAGGACGGCAAAGGUGACACGGCGAGCGAGCGGCUGCAGGCUUAUCUGGACAGCACGCCGGCCGAGCAGCGGAACAAGAGUCUCGCCAUGCUCAACAUUAACACUCGCGUCAAACACGACCUGGAUGUCAUGGUAGACAAAUAUUGCAGACUCUAUUCAGACGAUGAGGCCGAGGCCGAAGCCGAAGCCGAGGCCGAGGCCGAGGAAGCGGCCAAGGAAGAUGCUGCAAUGAAAUGAUGCGGCACGGACACUGAAUUCGCUAAAGGUGUUCUGGGACAGAAAAGAAAUGACGAAGCCAGCCGGCCCUGUUGAUUCCUCUCCACUGACUGUGAGGCAGAAGGAGCACAAGAGGGAGCAGUUACACCAAUAUCAGCUGUUCUGUAAAUUCAUGCUCAGUGAGAAGACAUUUCUUUUCAUAAACAAAUAGUGUAUACUGCUGGUGUGACAUAUUUCGGAUAGUUAAAAAAGGCCAGUAUGUUGAAAGUUGAUACAUUUAAAGGGUACAUUCACAUUGACAUAGCAUUUGAUCAAAUCAAGAAAAGAAAAAAAAUGAACACAACUCUGAAUGUAGAAGUAUUUGUAGUUAUUGUGGUCAAUAUGUAGGCUAUGGCAAGAUGGGGCUUUUUUUUAUUUUAUUUUUUUUGCCGCCACACACAAUGUUUAUUAAUUUGUCAGAUUUUACAUAAUUUCACAAUCUGUUUUCCGUUUGGUUUAAUAAAAAUAAAUUGUACAGAAAGCCAAAUUAAGGCACUGUGUGUGUCAGCUUUGUGGCAACAUUUUUACUCGGUCUUCAUUUGUAUG
RNA transcript from Perca flavescens (yellow perch), 3076 nucleotides. It is a transcript of the gene named THAP domain containing 12b, with no coding region annotated. The record is from RefSeq and is a predicted model, not a curated record. The transcript has 6 exons. NCBI's taxonomy places the organism in Eukaryota, Metazoa, Chordata, Actinopteri, Perciformes, Percidae.